AUCCAGCUGACCAGUCCCAAAUAGGGCGAAACGCGUGUCUUGGAU
Schistosoma rodhaini is the source of this 45-nucleotide non-coding RNA. The record is from Rfam. Lineage: Eukaryota; Metazoa; Platyhelminthes; Trematoda; Strigeidida; Schistosomatidae.